UACGUAGGGUGCAAGCGUUGUCCGGAAUUAUUGGGCGUAAAGAGCUCGUAGGCGGUUUGUCGCGUCUGCUGUGAAAACCCGAGGCUCAACCUCGGGCCUGCAGUGGGUACGGGCAGACUAGAGUGCGGUAGGGGAGAUUGGAAUUCCUGGUGUAGCGGUGGAAUGCGCAGAUAUCAGGAGGAACACCAAUGGCGAAGGCAGGUCUCUGGGCUGACACUGACGCUCAUGCACGAAAGCGUGGGGAGCAAA
Molecule: ribosomal RNA, 249 nt
Filed under: uncultured bacterium
Lineage: Bacteria
Description: partial 16S ribosomal RNA
Rfam family: Bacterial small subunit ribosomal RNA
Source: RNAcentral